GCUGAAUGUUGGUGUGACCCAGAGUGGGUGUCCCUGCCCUCGGGACAGUCCCCAGAGCUGCCUUUGGCAUCCCCUGCUGAAGGGUGGGAGCUGCCCAGAGCCAGCAGCAUCCAGCUGGAGGAUGCAGGAGGAUGCAGCUCCUGUUGUCUGGGAGUUGAAAACUGAAGUGAUUGUCGAGGUGUUGGCACUUGUUUUCCUGUGUCUUUGGUGAGGUGUUGACUCAGUACCUUUCUUGGAGCUGCUGUUGGAUGAAGAGGUGCCCCCAGUUCACCUGGAAGGUCCUGGUUUUCUUCCCUGCUUUUCCCAGCUUGUCCAGGAGAUGGAAUUCCAGUGCUACCGAACAGAUGGCUUGUGGUGCUUCCAAAAGGAGCCUUUGUGCCUUCAGGGAGAAAAUGGGGCAAGCGGGAAGGAAGAAGAGAAGCCCCGUGACUCCUCCCUGAGCCCCAGCCAGCCCCUGAACUGCCUUCCUGGGAAUGGUGGGACGGGCUGGACUCUGGAUUGCUCCCUCUGGAUGUGUGGUAAGACUGUUAUGGCAACUUUUCCAAGAG
Pseudopipra pipra is the source of this 548-nucleotide long non-coding RNA. RefSeq lists it as uncharacterized. Lineage: Eukaryota; Metazoa; Chordata; Aves; Passeriformes; Pipridae. The transcript has 3 exons. The record is from RefSeq and is a predicted model, not a curated record.